This 67-nucleotide transfer RNA is filed under the name Candidatus Caccopulliclostridium gallistercoris. It matches the Rfam family "tRNA", at positions 5 to 66 of the family's 71-position model. Rfam says of the family: Transfer RNA (tRNA) molecules are approximately 80 nucleotides in length. The record is from RNAcentral. RNAcentral also lists the same sequence under 1 other name. Lineage: Bacteria; Bacillati; Bacillota; Clostridia.
GGAUGUAGCUUAGUCGGUAGAGCGCCAGAUUGUGGCUCUGGAGGUCGAGGGUUCGAUUCCCUCCAUU